RNAcentral lists this ribosomal RNA (439 nucleotides) under uncultured bacterium. RNAcentral's name for it is "partial 16S ribosomal RNA". It matches the Rfam family "Bacterial small subunit ribosomal RNA", at positions 338 to 795 of the family's 1533-position model. The record is from RNAcentral.
CCUACGGGAGGCUGCAGUGGGGAAUAUUGCACAAUGGGCGAAAGCCUGAUGCAGCAACGCCGCGUGAGCGAUGACGGCCUUCGGGUUGUAAAGCUCUGUCCUUAAGGAAGAUAAUGACGGUACGUGAGGAGGAAGCCCCGGCUAAGUACGUGCCAGCAGCCGCGGUAAUACGGUGGGGGCCAGGGUUAUCCGGAAUUACUGGGCGGAAAGGGGGCGUAGGGGGUUGCUUAAGUCGGAGGGGAAAGGCUACGGCUAAAGCGUAGUAAGCAUUUGAAACUGGGGCACUUGAGUGCAGGAGAGGAUGGUGGAAUUCCGAGUGUAGCGGUGAAAUGCGUAGAUAUUAGGAGGAACACCAGUUGCGAAGGCGGCUCUCUGGACUGUAACUGACACUGAGGCACGAAAGCGUGGGGAGCAAACAGGAUUAGAUACCCCAGUAGUC